CGUGUAGGCUGCUCUGCAAGUCGGAUGUGAAAGCCCUGGGCUCAACCUAGGAAGUGCACUCGAAACUGCGGAGCUUGAGUCUCGGAGAGGAUCGCGGAAUUCUCGGUGUAGAGGUGAAAUUCGUAGAUAUCGAGAGGAACACCGGUGGCGAAGGCGGCGAUCUGGACGAUGACUGACGCUGAGACGCGAAAGCGUGGGGAGCAAACA
Molecule: ribosomal RNA, 207 nt
Filed under: uncultured delta proteobacterium
Lineage: Bacteria; Deltaproteobacteria
Description: partial 16S ribosomal RNA
Rfam family: Bacterial small subunit ribosomal RNA
Source: RNAcentral